AGUGAACGCUGGCGGUAGGCCUAACACAUGCAAGUCGAACGGCAGCACAGUAAGAGCUUGCUCUUACGGGUGGCGAGUGGCGGGCGGGUGAGGAAUACAUCGGAAUCUACUUUUUCGUGGGGGAUAACGUAGGGAAACUUACGCUAAUACCGCAUACGACCUACGGGUGAAAGCAGGGGAUCUUCGGACCUUGCGCGAUUGAGUGAGCCGAUGUCGGAUUAGCUAGUUGGCGGGGUAAAGGCCCACCAAGGCGACGAUCCGUAGCUGGUCUGAGAGGAUGAUCAGCCACACUGGAACUGAGACACGGUCCAGACUCCUACGGGAGGCAGCAGUGGGGAAUAUUGGACAAUGGGCGCAAGCCUGAUCCAGCCAUACCGCGUGGGUGAAGAAGGCCUUCGGGUUGUAAAGCCCUUUUGUUGGGAAAGAAAAGCAGCAGGUUAAUACCCCGCUGUUCUGACGGUACCCAAAGAAUAAGCACCGGCUAACUUCGUG
RNAcentral lists this ribosomal RNA (492 nucleotides) under uncultured bacterium. RNAcentral describes it as "partial 16S ribosomal RNA". It matches the Rfam family "Bacterial small subunit ribosomal RNA", at positions 29 to 507 of the family's 1533-position model. The record is from RNAcentral.